GUGGGAGGGGGCUUGCUCCCGAUUGCGGUACGUCAGUCAGUACAUAUUUGGCUGAUACACCGCUAUCGGGGGCAAGCCCCCUCCCAC
This 87-nucleotide unclassified non-coding RNA is filed under the name Pseudomonas synxantha. The record is from RNAcentral. Lineage: Bacteria; Pseudomonadati; Pseudomonadota; Gammaproteobacteria; Pseudomonadales; Pseudomonadaceae.